This is a long non-coding RNA of Hibiscus syriacus, 1041 nucleotides long. RefSeq lists it as uncharacterized. The transcript has 3 exons. Lineage: Eukaryota; Viridiplantae; Streptophyta; Magnoliopsida; Malvales; Malvaceae. The record is from RefSeq and is a predicted model, not a curated record.
AUGAUUGUAUUAUUAUGCUAAAUAGUUUUAUGAUGGAGUAGUUGAUGCCUUAACUUACUGUUCUAAAAAAUAAAGAUAGAUAGAUGUUACUUGAUAAUAUUUUAAGAAUUGUUGAGGGUGAUUAUAAGCUUGGUUAAAGAUCAAUUGCUCAUAAUAUUUAUCAAUUGAUUGGAUAUCUACUAGUAGUGCACUUUAUCAUGAAGGUUUUCAUUUUAACGAUCAUGAAAGCAAUAGCUCCUAAGAUAUUUGGCAAAGAGAAACUGAGGUCUGGAUUUCUUUUAAGUCUUUCCAAAGCAUAGAUAUAAAGUCUUCUCAUUUUCUGUUUCUGAUUAAUUUUAGGAUUGUAUUCCUUUUUCAUAUGGCAGAUGUAUGGUCAUGUGGAGUGACUCUUUAUGUUAUGUUGGUUGGUGCUUACCCGUUUGAGGACCAGGAGGAUCCAAAGAAUUUUAGGAAAACUAUUAGUAGAAUAAUGUCAGUUCAAUACUCCAGCUUUGUGAAUUGCAACUAUAGUGAUUGUAAGCCCUUAUGCAUUGAAUAGAUAUGUGGAUUCCAUUGUCGAUGAGUUGUUGAGGGAAGAUGAAUCUAUGUCCCUGUUUUGUCACUAUGCUUUUGGACAAAAGUCGAUUCCUCCGACUGGCAAUGCAACUUUGAUCAAACAGAUUGUUAAUGAAUGCAAAGUACUUCCAUUGGCACUUAAAGUGAUUGGAGCUUCCUUGCAAGACCAACCAGAAAUGUAAUGGAUAAAUGCAAGGAAAAGGUUAUCACGAAGAACAAAUCUGCGAGUCUCAUGAAAGUAAAUUGCUCGAUCAAAUGGCAAUCGGUUUCGAGUACAGUAACAAAAAUGACUUCCGUAGAAAUAAAAUCCUGAUUAACACAGUCUAAGAUGAACGUUGCCAAUCACUAUUUGUAUUAAACUUGGGAGUUUGUACAAAAGUGGAACGGAUACAAUUUUAUUUUUCACAGGAAAGUGUUUGUAAAACAAGUUCUUGUAAUGGAAUUUGUAAGAAAUACAAUAUAUAUUUUCUAUCAUAUCUUAAGAAU